UGCCAGCCGCCGCGGUAAUACGGAGGGGGCUAGCGUUGUUCGGAAUUACUGGGCGUAAAGCGCACGUAGGCGGACUAUUAAGUCAGGGGUGAAAUCCCGGGGCUCAACCCCGGAACUGCCUCUGAUACUGGUAGUCUUGAGUUCGAGAGAGGUGAGUGGAAUUCCGAGUGUAGAGGUGAAAUGCGUAGAUACUGGGAGGAACACCGGUGGCGAAGGCGGUUACCUGGACGGGUACUGACGCUGAGGCGCGAAAGCGUGGGGAGCAAACAGGAUUAGAUA
RNAcentral lists this ribosomal RNA (279 nucleotides) under uncultured bacterium. RNAcentral describes it as "partial 16S ribosomal RNA". It matches the Rfam family "Bacterial small subunit ribosomal RNA", at positions 506 to 784 of the family's 1533-position model. The record is from RNAcentral.